GCCCUCGUAGAGAAAUGGUAACUCAUCAGACUCCUAAUCUGAAGAUUGCGGUAAGCCCUCCUCACCUCGCGAUCGUGGUCACGACUAACAAACGACUAGGGUUCGAGUCCCGCCGGGGGCU
This is a non-coding RNA of Echria macrotheca, 121 nucleotides long. Lineage: Eukaryota; Fungi; Ascomycota; Sordariomycetes; Sordariales; Schizotheciaceae. The record is from the annotation of a GenBank genome assembly.